Molecule: long non-coding RNA, 236 nt
Filed under: Mytilus galloprovincialis (Mediterranean mussel)
Lineage: Eukaryota; Metazoa; Mollusca; Bivalvia; Mytilida; Mytilidae
Source: RNAcentral
GAUCAUCAGGGCAAGUAAAUUUUUGUCCGGACAAGUAAAAUUUUUAGUUUUACUUGCCCAGGGACAAGUGCUCACAACAAAUAUUUCCACACCCCUGACAUGUCAUGUACAGUAUGGUCAAAAUUAUACAAUACUGCAAGGAACACUUAAAAAACAGGACAGUUACUCUAUAUUUAUAUCUCCAAAAUUGUAAGGAUUCUCCCAAUAUAUCUAUAGGCUAGUAAAUGGUAACGGAC